GGGUGUGAGGACAAUCUGGCUGUGAUAUCUGUCACCUCACUGAUCGCCAAAGUUUGACUUGACUGAUCUGGCUAGCUGAGUAGGUGUCCCCACCCUCCCUCACUGGAUCCAUGUGCAUCUCUCCCAAGCUGUAUGCUCAGUCAGAGAGAACAACCUUCCCCCGCAAAAGGAGGGUUAUUCUUCUGUCCAGGGAACAAUGCUAGAACCUCCAAACAAGCCCCCCAACGCCUCACCAACAGAAGAAUACCAGUGGCCAGUGCCACGUGUUGUAC
This 272-nucleotide small nuclear RNA is filed under the name Pteropus vampyrus (large flying fox). RNAcentral describes it as "7SK RNA (ENSPVAG00000026032.1)". It matches the Rfam family "7SK RNA". Rfam says of the family: 7SK was discovered as an abundant small nuclear RNA in the mid-70s but a possible function has only recently been suggested. Two independent studies have found that 7SK RNA binds the CDK9/cyclin T complex (known as elongation factor P-TEFb). The record is from RNAcentral. Lineage: Eukaryota; Metazoa; Chordata; Mammalia; Chiroptera; Pteropodidae.